Long non-coding RNA from Peromyscus californicus insignis, 3932 nucleotides. RefSeq lists it as uncharacterized. NCBI's taxonomy places the organism in Eukaryota, Metazoa, Chordata, Mammalia, Rodentia, Cricetidae. The transcript has 3 exons. The record is from RefSeq and is a predicted model, not a curated record.
CAUCCUCCACAGAAGCUGUGUCUCUGUGGCACCUGCCUCCUGCCCUACAGGACUUGAAUUAAGCCUCUUGCUUUGCUGCCCCAGGCAAGAGCUGAAUUUCUUCAACCUAGCUUAAAUCAAAGUAGAUUCUGCCUGUGGGAGAUUUUAUAGUUUUUCGUGUGGUUCAGUACACCCCUUCCAACAUCCCUACUGUGCCGCUCCCAAGCCUGUUGGUUUAGGACUUCGAGAAUUAUGCUCUUGACUAUGCCACUAAGUUAAAUAAGAAACAGAAAGCAGGGGAUGAAGACACAAGCUUGCUUUCUGGACCGAUCAUGUUUCUGCCAUGAAGGAACUCUGUUCCUCAAUGCAACACAAUCACAAGAAAACUUAAACAAAUUUGAAUGCCUGUUGUUAAAACCUGUGUUUUGAUCACUACCUAGGAUCCCUGCACCUGGAUUUAAGAAAUAUAGUUUCAUUUACUAUUUCGUGAGUCAUUUCAUUGUGUAAAACAAGUAGUAAGAACCCAAGAAAGAGUACAUUUGUCAAAUCUUCAUUCAAUGUUUUUAAGUCAAGGUGGUUUAAUUAAUUGUUUUGAUUUUUUCCACUAGUGUUUUUUCUGGCUCCAAAAGCAUAGUUAAGACUGUACUUGUUUUUGUUUGUUUGUUUGUUUGUUGUUGUUGUUUUAGUUUCUCGAGACAGGGUUUCUCUGUGUAAUGGCCCUGGCUGGCCUGGAACUCACAGAGAUCCACGUGCCUCUCUGCCUGGGAUUAAAGGCCUGAGCCAUCACCACCACUGCCCGGUAAGACUGUACUUGUGAAAGAGAGUAAUAAUACGCACCUAGGGUUGGCCACUUUGGUUACUGUAGUAGGAGCUGACAGAGCCAGUUUGUCACAGAUUUUUGACAUCGUAGAACACAGUUCUAAUCCAAAUCAGUCUUCUUCCUUUCCAUUUGUCUCUUCCAGUUUGGGCAGUGUGUCUCUUCCAGUUUGGGCAGUGUGUGAUGGUUGGGGAGAAGCUAUUCUGGCCUCCAGACUGGCUUCUUGGACCCCAAUCUCCUCUUCUCCCUCCAUGACUUCGACAACCAUGGAUGCCACACUUCCUAAAAACCCGUAAAUCAACCACCACACAUCUCUCACACACCUUGCAGCCAGGGAAACCAUGGGGAAGAAGUGAACCAGCCAGUGAGCAGCCAUGAUGACAUGGAAGGUCAAGACCGCCAGAGCAAUACAGUUGGACUGCUGGCUCCACACAGGAGGCGCAAGAGGAACAGGAAGGCUCAGCCUUCAUCAUUGGGUUCACGAUGCACAUCAGAACUCCGGACAGAAGACCACACCUCUUUCUUGAAAGCCACGGAGUAUGGAAGCCAGCUCUAUCUCUCUCUCCAAGAGGUCUGCAGUGUCUGAAAAGUGUUGACUUCUGUGGAACUAGGAGUUGAAGCUGAUGUUAUCUCACUGUGAUUCUGCUUGCACUCUCCUGUGGGUGGAGAGAAGGCUGUGGAAAGUGACAGCUGUGUGGUCUGGUGUUCGGUCUACAUGGACCUAUGUGAACUAAGGCUCAAGUCCUUGUUGUUUAUUGGUGUCUUGGCUUUCAGAGGAUGCUGGCAGCUCCUCUUGCCCCCAUUCUUCUCCCAAACUCAAGGACCGAUUUCAGGAAGAUGCAGGAACAUGGGCGAUUUCACCCACUUAGAUCCCAUGAGAGGAUUUACUGUGUGAGGUACAAAUAAGUCAGUGUGAUUUAAUGUGUGUGUUUCUUUCUGUUCUUCUUUGAAAUCUUCAGAACCAUAAAUAAAGCUGAGAUUAGGAAUGGACUGAAGUAAAAGGCAGAAAGACAAACCAUGGGUUGUUUGGCCUGCUUGUUUUCCUGAAGUAGGAAACUGCUUCAGAGAUCACCCAGGUGGUUGUAAAAGUUUACGUGUGCCUGGGGAACUGGUGAGGCAGAGAUGGGGACUAGAAGGUAGGAUCCAGAGACCCUGGCCUCCUGAUUGUGCGUCAGUCAACUUCUCCAGAUGUAGCUGGGCCGUGAUGUGGCAAUAACAAGCCCACUCUACAUAUUCGUAAGGAUAAGCUCUAUCAUUAGAACCAGACUCUGGGUGGGUGGCUACCAUUCUAGUACUUGAAGUCAACCAUCAGGGAAUUUGUGCUUUCUUAGGGUAAGUACAUCAUCAUUCCUCUACCAUUCUCCUCUUCAUACCACAUGCUAGACUCUUUCCUCUACUUAAUCCCAAGCAAGUCAGUGUCCUCACUAAUCUGUAGCUCAUAGAGUCAAGUUAUUUGGGAAGUGCGGGUUUUAAUUGGAAGAAGUGUCAUUUUUUUUUUUUUUAUAGAUACAUACUAUAGCUGCGCUGACUCUUUGCAAUCACAUAACAUUUAGGUGACACAAAAUUACCUAAAGUCUUGUCAACCUGACAAAAUCCUCAUGUCCUUUAAAGCUCUACUCAAAACUAUGACACUUCCCAUAACCAGAUUCUGUUCUUGAAAUACAUACUAGGAUGUCAUGCCGCGUUAUUCAGUGCACAACCAGAGUGUCACUGUCCCAGAGCUGACCUUGCUCUAACUCCAGAGUGAUUGGCUUUCGUGUCAGCUGAGAUCUUCCAGUAAAAGUGAAUGAUAUUCUCUUCAUGCUUCACAGUAUAAUAGUGUCAUAUCUACAAAAAAAUAUCAGAAAUCAGCAGCCAACAUGAUGGGUGUGUGAGCCAAGUCCAUUUCUUUUCUUUUCUUUUUUUUACUGGAAAUGUAUGUAUUAUUUAAUCAGCCAGAUGUUGUAGUACACACCUGUAAUUCCAGCAUUCAAGAGGUAGAAGCAGAAGGACCCGGAGUUCAAGACCAGCCUUGGCUACAGAGUGAGCUUCGGGUCAACCUGGGCUCCCUGAGAUCCUGUCUCCAAAACACAAAUAAUAGUAACAGUAACAACAAUAGUGAAAAAUCAACAGCUUGUCCAUAAAAUUAUAGAUGACUGGCUUUUUUAAAUACCAGAAUGUUUUUGACUACAAGAAAAAUAAGUUUGGACUCAAAAUGUGUCUAAAACAAGGUGUUUGAAAGGACUUACAUGGUCUCAUAUAAGAGGAAGUUUUAAGUUCCCUCGAAUUGAUUGCUUUAUGUCUGAAUAUGCUAUUGGGGUCUGACUCCUUUUUAUUUUUCUGGCUGCUUGACCUCUUAAUGUUGGCAUCACUUUCAAAUGGCACCAUAGAGAUCAUACCUAGACGGAGCCUCUGUGCAGAAAAAGAGAAAACUGUUGCUUCUGGGCCUUUCUUUCAGGAGAAAAAAAAAAAUCUAUUCCGGACGUUUGCUAGGGAAAUUUUUUUCCCUAAGAUUUCUGGGAAGGCUUCCAUAGAAACUCACAGAGGUCAAAGUGCAGAAAGUCCGUGUCUGUGCUGCACUCAGCCGUAAAUAGUACAUCUACAUCACACUCGCUCACCCCAAGGCGGGGGCCAUCACAGAAGAGGGAAAGAUCACCAGUCACGGGGGUCAGGGAGGACCUUGGGGAAAGUGUCUUGUGCACAAAUGGUCACAUACACAGGAUCAAGCCAGUCAGCAUUCCGGCAGAGAGGGGGCUGUGACGGUUAAUGACUGCUCGGGGAGGGAAAGGCAGCUUUUUUUUUUUUCCAUUUUUCUUUCUUUAUUUUUUUUUCAGAGCUGAGGACCGAACCCAGGGCCUUGUGCUUGCUAGGCAAGCCCUCUACCAUUGAGCUAAAUCCCCAACCCUUCAGAUUUUUUUUUCUUUUUUUGAGACAGGAUUUCUCUGUGCAGUUUUGCACCUUUCCUGGAACUCACUUUGUAGACCAGGCUGACCUCGAACUCACAGAGAUCCGCCUGCCUCUGCCUCCCGAGUGCUGGGAUUAAAGGUGUGCGCCACCACUGCCCAGCUUCAUUUUUCUUUAUUAAGAAAUUUUCUACUCACUCUACAUACCACCCACAAAUUCCCCCUCCUCCCUCCUCCCACCCUCCAGCCCUCCC